This is a non-coding RNA of Rattus norvegicus (Norway rat), 69 nucleotides long. The record is from Rfam. NCBI's taxonomy places the organism in Eukaryota, Metazoa, Chordata, Mammalia, Rodentia, Muridae.
GGGGAUUUAGCUCAGUGGUAGAGUGCUUGCCUAGCAAGCGAAAGGCCCUGGGUUCGGUCCCCAGCUCUG